Long non-coding RNA from Rattus rattus (black rat), 851 nucleotides. RefSeq lists it as uncharacterized. The record is from RefSeq and is a predicted model, not a curated record. NCBI's taxonomy places the organism in Eukaryota, Metazoa, Chordata, Mammalia, Rodentia, Muridae. The transcript is spliced from 2 exons.
GUAUACACACUUUAUAGCACACACACAUUGGGGAUUGGCUCUAAUGCUUUGUUUUAUUUCAGCUCCCAAAAAGCUGCACUUCCAGACCCGAGGGUCCCCUCCCCCAGCUGUCUUCGAUUGAUCAUAAAGAAUUGCCAGACAGCCAAUGGCUGUGGGGACUUAAACAGAACAUGAAGACGUCACUGGAGCCCGCUUCUCUUUUGUCAUGACCGGUGGUGAUGCUCUUGCCUUAAACUGGCUGUCAAGUGGCUUUAAUUGCUGUUGAUAAGAACUGUGGUCUAAUUUGUUCGCUAAUUCGCUAGCUUAUCUUAAAACCUACUUAGUGUUGACUCUGUGCCAAGCUUUGGGGGUUGGGGUUGGAGUCGGGGUGGGAGUUAAGGGAAGGGGAGAAGGGGAAAGAGAACAUUAUGAGAGACACAGUGAGCCACGGUCUUCAGGUGACCGUGACUGAAGCAUGCUGAUGGAACAUACUUAGGAUCAGUUAGAAAAUGGAACCAAAGGGCCAAUGCCCCUAACCGGGGCCUUCUUAUCUUGUUCCUGUGGUAGAAAGAACUUUAGCCUCUUUUAGUGUCUUGGAAGCCUCUAAUCUAGUUUGGUUUUCGAUGCUGGGGGUGGGAGCUAGGCUUUGCGCAUGCUAUUCAAGUGCUUUUAACACAGUGACGUCCCAGACCAGCUGUCCGUCCUGACCCAGCUCUGUGUUAGAAGAAUAUUCAUCUUCCUGGUGUCCACUGGCCCACUUAUCUUGUGAUGACCAGGAUGUGAGAAAUAGUGUCUAUGGCAUGAGAAAAUAAUCCUAGAACCAGGAAUAGACAUCUAGGAGAUGGAAAAUGAAUACACAUUCUGACAAGUCA